This 228-nucleotide ribosomal RNA is filed under the name uncultured bacterium. RNAcentral describes it as "partial 16S ribosomal RNA". It matches the Rfam family "Bacterial small subunit ribosomal RNA", at positions 32 to 270 of the family's 1533-position model. The record is from RNAcentral.
AAUCAACGCUGGCGGCGUGCCUAACACAUGCAAGUCGCACGAGAAAGGGGAGCAAUCCCUGAGUAAAGUGGCGCACGGGUGAGUAACACGUGAAUUAUCUACCUCCGAGUGGGGAAUAACUGAGAGAAAUCUUAGCUAAUACCGCAUAACACUUACGAGUCAAAGCAGCAAUGCGCUUGGAGAGGAGUUCGCGGCCGAUUAGUUAGUUGGCGGGGUAAUGGCCCACCC